ACAGGUUGUCCGUGGCUGUCCGUCAGCACACACAGAACGUCCGUAGCUGUCCAUUAGUACACAUAUGAGCACGCUGGUUCUUCCCUUGGCUGAUUUUCGACAACCAUAGACUGUCCAUGGACUGCCGAUCAGUACAUAUAUCAGCACUCUGACCACACAUAUCUGCAUGCUCGUCCUUCCCAUGAACUGUUCGUGUACUGAUUUUGGACAACUGAUGUACCAUGUCUGUACAAAUAUAAGCAUGCUGGCCCAUUCCGGGAACUGUUUGUGUACUGAUCUGGACAUGAGCUCGAGUGUUAAUGGACUGGACUGUCCUAGUCAGUCUGAUAGAUGCUAGCCCGAGUUCUAAUGAACUGAUGGUCCAAGUGUACUUAUGCUGGCUCGACUUUUCAUAAUCCCACCAAGUGUUAACAUUUUUCCCUUGGUUUUUAUUGUGGUAUGAUCGAGGCCAAGCGUACUGAAGGGAUGAAUGAAAACUCUUUUGGGUUUUAAUUCUCCCAUCAGGAUGCUUUUGGCCGAGACUUGUGCACAUGCGGGCUUCAUUUCAUCGGCCAAUCUGAAAUAUUAGGGCGAGAGUUAAUUUCACCAAGUAAUAAUUUUGAACCUCUGACGACAUCUUCUUAUAUACUUUUUUGGGUUUUUUGUUUUUAACGUUUUGGGGCGGAACAACGUGUGAUUGGAAAGGGGGAGGAUCGAAUCUUAGUGACAAAGGGCUGAAUCUCAGUGGAACGUGGCAGCAAGGCCACUCUGCCACUUAGAAUACCUCGUCGCGUAUUUAAUUCGUCUGCAAAGGAUUCUACCCGCCGCUCGGUGGUAAUUAUUAUUCAAGGCUGAAGGACCCUAAGAUCGGCUCACUCGAAUGGAUCAUAUUUGGAUAUGAACUACGGAUGGAGAACUGAAUAGAUUGAAGGUUCGCACGAAGGUUACGGAAAGGCCUUCGAUAUUAUCGACUCCAAAUGGUGCUUGAUAUGACUCACAAGACCACCAAGUGAAGGAUCUCUCAUCGUUGCUUGAUAUGACUCACAAGACCAACUAUUUGAGGAAGUGUUUACUUGGAUAUGACUCACCAAGAAACUAAGAACAAGUUC
Long non-coding RNA from Brassica rapa (field mustard), 1088 nucleotides. RefSeq lists it as uncharacterized. NCBI's taxonomy places the organism in Eukaryota, Viridiplantae, Streptophyta, Magnoliopsida, Brassicales, Brassicaceae. The record is from RefSeq and is a predicted model, not a curated record.